Molecule: ribosomal RNA, 1245 nt
Filed under: Klebsiella oxytoca
Lineage: Bacteria; Pseudomonadati; Pseudomonadota; Gammaproteobacteria; Enterobacterales; Enterobacteriaceae
Description: partial 23S ribosomal RNA
Rfam family: Bacterial large subunit ribosomal RNA
Source: RNAcentral
CGAGUCUUAACUGGGCGUUAAGUUGCAGGGUAUAGACCCGAAACCCGGUGAUCUAGCCAUGGGCAGGUUGAAGGUUGGGUAACACUAACUGGAGGACCGAACCGACUAAUGUUGAAAAAUUAGCGGAUGACUUGUGGCUGGGGGUGAAAGGCCAAUCAAACCGGGAGAUAGCUGGUUCUCCCCGAAAGCUAUUUAGGUAGCGCCUCGUGAACUCAUCUUCGGGGGUAGAGCACUGUUUCGGCUAGGGGGUCAUCCCGACUUACCAACCCGAUGCAAACUACGAAUACCGAAGAAUGUUAUCACGGGAGACACACGGCGGGUGCUAACGUCCGUCGUGAAGAGGGAAACAACCCAGACCGCCAGCUAAGGUCCCAAAGUCAUGGUUAAGUGGGAAACGAUGUGGGAAGGCCCAGACAGCCAGGAUGUUGGCUUAGAAGCAGCCAUCAUUUAAAGAAAGCGUAAUAGCUCACUGGUCGAGUCGGCCUGCGCGGAAGAUGUAACGGGGCUAAACCAUGCACCGAAGCUGCGGCAGCGACACUAUGUGUUGUUGGGUAGGGGAGCGUUCUGUAAGCCGUUGAAGGUGGCCUGUGAGGGUUGCUGGAGGUAUCAGAAGUGCGAAUGCUGACAUAAGUAACGAUAAUGCGGGUGAAAAACCCGCACGCCGGAAGACCAAGGGUUCCUGUCCAACGUUAAUCGGGGCAGGGUGAGUCGACCCCUAAGGCGAGGCCGAAAGGCGUAGUCGAUGGGAAACAGGUUAAUAUUCCUGUACUUGGUGUUACUGCGAAGGGGGGACGGAGAAGGCUAUGUUGGCCGGGCGACGGUUGUCCCGGUUUAAGCAUGUAGGCGGAUGUUCCAGGUAAAUCCGGAACGUCACUAACGCUGAGGUGUGAUGACGAGGCACUACGGUGCUGAAGUGACAAAUGCCCUGCUUCCAGGAAAAGCCUCUAAGCAUCAGGUAACAUCAAAUCGUACCCCAAACCGACACAGGUGGUCAGGUAGAGAAUACCAAGGCGCUUGAGAGAACUCGGGUGAAGGAACUAGGCAAAAUGGUGCCGUAACUUCGGGAGAAGGCACGCUGAUGGUAAGUGAAGUGACUUGCUCAUGGAGCUGAAAUCAGUCGAAGAUACCAGCUGGCUGCAACUGUUUAUUAAAAACACAGCACUGUGCAAACACGAAAGUGGACGUAUACGGUGUGACGCCUGCCCGGUGCCGGAAGGUUAAUUGAUGGGGUUAUCCUCGCGGAGA